Molecule: ribosomal RNA, 484 nt
Filed under: uncultured bacterium
Lineage: Bacteria
Description: partial 16S ribosomal RNA
Rfam family: Bacterial small subunit ribosomal RNA
Source: RNAcentral
GACGAACGCUAGCGGCGUGCUUAACACAUGCAAGUCGAACGAUGAACCCGGAGCUUGCUCCGGCGGAUUAGUGGCGAACGGGUGAGUAACACGUGAGUAACCUGCCCUUGACUCUGGGAUAACUGCUAGAAAUGGUAGCUAAUACCGGAUACGACCCUCGGUGGCAUCACCAGGGGGUGGAAAGAAUUUCGGUCAAGGAUGGACUCGCGGCCUAUCAGCUAGUUGGUGAGGUAACGGCUCACCAAGGCGACGACGGGUAGCCGGCCUGAGCGGGUGACCGGCCACACUGGGACUGAGACACGGCCCAGACUCCUACGGGAGGCAGCAGUGGGGAAUAUUGCACAAUGGGCGCAAGCCUGAUGCAGCAACGCCGCGUGAGGGAUGACGGCCUUCGGGUUGUAAACCUCUUUUAGUAGGGAAGAAGCGAAAGUGACGGUACCUGCAGAAAAAGCACCGGCUAACUACGUGCCAGCCGCCGCAGUAA